This 484-nucleotide ribosomal RNA is filed under the name uncultured bacterium. RNAcentral's name for it is "partial 16S ribosomal RNA". It matches the Rfam family "Bacterial small subunit ribosomal RNA", at positions 30 to 507 of the family's 1533-position model. The record is from RNAcentral.
AUUGAACGCUGGCGGCAGGCCUAACACAUGCAAGUCGAGCGGAUGAAGGGAGCUUGCUCCUGGAUUCAGCGGCGGACGGGUGAGUAAUGCCUAGGAAUCUGCCUGGUAGUGGGGGAUAACGUCCGGAAACGGGCGCUAAUACCGCAUACGUCCUGAGGGAGAAAGUGGGGGAUCUUCGGACCUCACGCUAUCAGAUGAGCCUAGGUCGGAUUAGCAAGUUGGUGGGGUAAAGGCCUACCAAGGCGACGAUCCGUAACUGGUCUGAGAGGAUGAUCAGUCACACUGGAACUGAGACAAGGUCCAGACUCCUACGGGAGGCAGCAGUGGGGAAUAUUGGACAAUGGGCGAAAGCCUGAUCCAGCCAUGCCGCGUGUGUGAAGAAGGUCUUCGGAUUGUAAAGCACUUUAAGUUGGGAGGAAGGGCAGUAAGUUAAUACCUUGCUGUUUUGACGUUACCAACAGAAUAAGCACCGGCUAACUUCGUG